Long non-coding RNA from Peromyscus eremicus (cactus mouse), 1107 nucleotides. RefSeq lists it as uncharacterized. NCBI's taxonomy places the organism in Eukaryota, Metazoa, Chordata, Mammalia, Rodentia, Cricetidae. The record is from RefSeq and is a predicted model, not a curated record. The transcript has 6 exons.
CCCUUGGAGACCUGGCCAGUGUCCUGAUAACGUCCCCUUUAAGAAAAAACUGCUCCCUCCCUCCUCUCUCCCCGCUCCCUUCCUCUCUCCUGCCACAAGGUAGCUGCACACCUUCUCUUUUCCUUUCUUCCCCUUUCUGUCUCUCUUCUUCUCCUUCUUCUUCCUCUCUUAGCCCCCACCUGCUUUCCCCCUCUUCCUUCCUCCCUCCCCCUUUGAUACAACUUAACACAUGAGUGUGGCCUGCACGGUGUAAGUGACUUUGCACGGUGCCCCUUGCCUCCAUCUGCCAAGGCUGCUGUGCGCGCUGUUUUAAAAAUAUAGCAAGUAAGAUACUCGGUUUAAGGAGUCCAAUACUGCUAUGUGCUCUAGAUAUAAAAGAAGAUCACCAUGAGAGGGUGGGGCGAUCAGAGGACAACUCGAAGUAACUGGAUCUUCCACCAACUGGAUCCUGAGGCUGGAACUUAGGGUAUCAGGCUUGGUGGCAAACCAUCUUGAUUGCCCUCGACUUUCAUCUCAACCAGCGUACUGAGGAGACGCUGAACUCAGGGUGUCACCAACAACUCUUCCAAAAGUAAAUAAGUAAAGCCGAGGAAGUGUGGAAAUGAACCAGAAGGAAAGGGGACCUGAGUCUGAAUCCCUGUACUCACCUAAAAAGCCAGGUGCGGUAGCAGGUUCCAGAAAUCCCAGCACUGAGGAGACAGAGACAGCGUUUCUGGACCACCCUUGCUGGACAUCAACUCUCACAGGCUCAGAAGAAAACCAGGAUUUAUAAAGUCGAGCUCGAUGCAAAUAUUUCAAGGCUUAAUUUCCCCCCUCAAUACAACAGCAUAAGUUGCUUAGCGUUUCGGGUCCUCUAACAACAGAAGCAAAUGCAAGUGCAUUCAUUGAAAAUGAGCCCAGAAUAGAAAAGAAGAAGGCAGUGCAUUUGACAGACAUGUUAUUAAUAGUUUCUGCCAACUUGCCAUGCAUAAAGGGUUUAUUGGUUACAACACCAGUGUAUGAAGACAUUCUUUUCCUUGAAAUGUUCAAGAUGGUUGUUUUAUGGAUGAAAAAUGAAUGCAAUCUGUCUACCGCCACUCAAAAUUUGGGUUUCAAUAAUAAAAUUAA